UAAAGGUUUGGUCCUGGCCUUAUAGUUAAUUAGGGGUAGAAUUACACAUGCAAAUAUCCAUAUACCAGUGUCAGAUCCCCUUAAAAUUUAAUCUUAAAUAUAAGGAGGAGAUAUCAAGCACAUAUCUGUAUAGCUUAAGACAUCUUGCCUAGCCACACCCCCACGGGUAACAGCAGUGAUAAAAAUUAAGCAAUGAACGAAAGUUCGACUAAGGUCAUACCCCAAAGGGUUGGUAAAUUUCGUGCCAGCCACCGCGGUCAUACGAUUAACCCAAGUUAAUUAUAUUUCGGCGUAAAACGUGCUAUAUUAAUAUAUAAAUAGAAUUAAAACUCAACUUAUAUGUGAAAAUUCAUUGUUAGAAUUUAAAAUCAAUAACGAAGGUAAUUCUAAUAUAUCAAUGCACGACAGCUAAGAUCCAAACUGGGAUUAGAUACCCCACUAUGCUUAGCCGUAAACUUAAAUAAUUUAUAACAAAAUUAUUUGCCAGAGAACUACGAGCCACAGCUUAAAACUCAAAGGACUUGGCGGUACUUUAUAUCCAUCUAGAGGAGCCUGUUCUAUAAUCGAUAAACCCCGCUAUACCUUACCACCUUUUGCUAAUUCAGCCUAUAUACCGCCAUCUUCAGCAAACCUUAAAAAAGAGAAAAAGUAAGCAAAAGAAUUAAACAUAAAAACGUUAGGUCAAGGUGCAGCCUAUAAGGUGGGAAGUAAUGGGCUACAUUUUCUCAUAAAGAAUAUACGAAACCCUUUAUGAAACUAAAGGCUAAAGGAGGAUUUAGUAGUAAAUUAAGAAUAGAGUGCUUAAUUGAAUAGAGCAAUGAAGUGCGCACACAUCGCCCGUCACCCUCCUCAAACUAAAUACUAAUACUAUUAAAUAAAUUACAUUAGAAAAAUUUACGAGAGGAGAUAAGUCGUAACAAGGUAAGCAUACUGGAAAGUGUGCUUGGA
Molecule: non-coding RNA, 948 nt
Filed under: Uranomys ruddi (white-bellied brush-furred rat)
Lineage: Eukaryota; Metazoa; Chordata; Mammalia; Rodentia; Muridae
Description: 12S ribosomal RNA
Rfam family: Microsporidia small subunit ribosomal RNA
Source: RNAcentral